UCCGCGUCGAUUUAAGAGAAAAGACUGGUGGUUACAACAACAAAAUGUUCAUAUUCUUCAUAUUUCAUAAUUUACCUUCAGUGUCGUUUUGUCAAGCAGACAAGCCUGCCUGUAUAUUACUACACUUUACAGCACUGCGAUUCGGGAGGGAGUAAUCGUCUUUCGCAAGGUACAUUGCCGUGUUAAAAAAGAAGAAUGUACGAAAAAAGGAGCAUUACUAUUUGCCUAGUUUCCCAUCAUCUUACAGGGAAAAAACGGUAUUUGUUGACCUUGACUAUGCCGGGGAGAAUCUUUUGAGCUUUCGAUCAAUGGUUUUGGGUCUAGUAAUCGUCAAUGUUGGCAUUCCGGAGCUUCUUCUGGGGUGGGAUUGAAGCCACGGAACUGAGACCUUCCUUCCCCAUUUGCUGCACUUCGACUGGUGACAGUAUCUUUAUGUACCAGACGUUAUUCACAAAUUCCCUGCAACGACAAGAGUAGAGAAUAUGAACUGCGAAUUCACGAACUACACGAUCCUAUACCCUGCGAGUUAUCAUGGAUUUUGUGCAAAACGGAGUAGAACCAAGUAAAGGCAUAACAAAGACAGUUAUGCAGGAAUUCUCACUGCCAAGGGUCGUCGCCAAGGAGAAGAACGUCAUUCUCCCGGUCAACAAAUACAAGCUGCCAGCCUGAUCUCUGAGGGUCCUCCAGUUGGCCUUCAAGCCCAAACAACCGAGCUAGCUCGACACGCAGUUCAUCAUAGCUGCUGAACGUCGAUAUGUCUAGCGAUCGCCCAAAGGACCCCGUUUUGUGAACCUGUCAACACGCAAGCGAAAGAGGAACACAAACAUGAAAAACAAACAGAUAACUAACUGCGGAACAAUAUACAAAAUGGAAGAAAACAACUACAGCAGGAUAUCAAAGUCAGAGAGAGAGCGAUUAUGAACGAAGACCUCAUGAAUGACAAAUAUAACUAGUUUCUACCACCGUUCAUCUGAAGCAACAUAAAAGCCGGUGAAUUUGAGAUGGCUUUAUUUCUGUUUUCUUAUGAUAUUGGUGGUUUACAGCAAGCAAACACUUUGCCGUUACAGAUCGGUUUUAAGCUAAAGAUGAGAAGACAGAGAAACAGGGGAUGCAAGGAAAGUCAGUAUUCAGUAACUUAAGCAGUCUCAAGGUUUUACUAGUAAGUGAAUAAGAAUUAUCUACAAGAGCCAGUAAGUUGCCAAUUUCGGCAUGCACAAGCAUACUUAAAGGACAUAAUAAAUGCAUACCUUCACAAAGGUUCUUGUUGGUGGAUUGACUUGGUCGACAUUUUCAGAAGACUGCAAGUAACCCGAUUCAUCCACACAACUUGAAGUAGUCAUAUCCGAGUUAAGUGGAAGCUCACUCCCAUUAGCAUUCGGAUAAGCAGAAGCGAAUGGCAUAGACAAUCGGUCACUUCCAUUGCCAAUACUUCUCAUAUGUCCCAUGCCAUGCUGGAGCAUAUAGGAUGAAGAAUCAAUGUUAAUCCCAAAUAAGGUGUUAUUUUGUUGAUCUGUAGUACCCUGGUAUGCUGAAUACUCCCUGCCUGGAAAUGGAGGUAACAAAGUAGCAUGCUCAGAUGCAUUUGACUGUGACAAAGCAUCCACCUUGGGCAGUGUGCAAUCUGCAAUACCGGGAGAAAAUCGUUGACCAUCUGCCACUUGCCUAGACAACAAUGUAGAAGAGAUUCCACCACCAUUUGACCCGUUCAGAUUAAACAUAUUGUUGGAUGCUCCAUCUCUCAUCAUUGAACCCAUCACACUGUGCAUCGAGGAAACAUUACCUGCAGCAACAGGAUUUACUACAGGCUCAGAAAAAGCUGGCUGCUGGGAUUGCAGAGAUGCAGAUUGAGACGGGUUAGCCGAUGUGUGAUGGGACAAAGAUGACACAACAUUGGAGGUCUGGUGCUGAGAAGAGGGUUGAUGCUGAGAAGAGAUCUGAUGCUGAGGAGAGGGUUGAUGCUGAGAAGAGGGUUGAUGCUGAGGAGAGGGUUGAUGCUGAGAAGAGGGUUGAUGCUGAGGAGAGGGUUGAUGCUGAGAAGAGGGUUGAUGCUGAGGAGAGGGUUGAUGCUGAGAAGAGGGUUGAUGCUGAGGAGAGGGUUGAUGCUGAGAAGAGGGUUGAUGCUGAGGAGAGGGUUGAUGCUGAGAAGAGGGUUGAUGCUGAGGAGAGGGUUGAUGCUGAGAAGAGGGUUGGUGCUGUUGCUGAGGUUGUUGAACCUGUCGUGACUGAGGUGGAGGAUGUUGAGGUUGCUUCUGUUGUUGCUGCAGAUCAUUAUACAUGGGAUGGCGCUGCAAUUGUUGGUGUAUAAGCUGUGCCUGAGUCGAAGCUUGGCUUUCUUGGAAGUUCUGAAGAAAAGCGUGCUGAAGAUUGGAAGAAGGCUGUAACAUCUCUCUCUGGAGCAAAGCACCAGGGUCAUUAGAUACAAUCUGUGACGGCUGGAACUGCAUAACCGAUUGAGAACCUAAUUUAGAAGAUUCCACAGCCCGCAUUUCCUGAAGGGCAGCGGCCGCCAUUGCCUGGUAAACAUCAGGUUGCAAAGCCUGAAUAGAAGCAUCAAGCCUUGGCUGAAGCCACGGAUUAACGCCAAAGCCCUGGAAGUUCAUAGAUUGCAUUCCCUGAUCCCCGAGUCCUUGAAGCCACAUCAAUUGAGAAUUUAUAUUAAAAUCCCUAUCCUUGAGACCUAAAUAAACAAAUAUUGGUAGUCGAGGAUCAGAAUCAGAUCCACAUUUCAACAAUUUUCCUACAACUUGAACAAUCUACAAGAGCAUACCAAAGGAUGGCAUGCCAGAUGGCCAAGGUCGCUUCAAUCUCAUAGGGAAUGGUGAUGGAUACAUAGGAAAUGUUGUUAAUGGUUCAAUCUCCCACAAGGAGACUCGUGGCUGCCUCUCCCCCGCAGUAGAUUCAUCCCAACCAACCUAUACAAUUAACAAUGGGUUCAACAUCCAGGAAAAAAGGUGCAGACUACUCCGAGGGAAAGAAGUGCAGACUACUGAAAUAAUCCCCCCCUUGAUAAAAUACUACGGAAAAGAUCAUAAUAUUCGAACAUAACCUUAACCGAACGCCAAUGUGAAUUUUGCCAACGAACAGGAUCUAGAUCACUGAUCCCAGUAAUGGUACCCAUGUAUCUGGAGGAAAAAAAUGCAGCUAAUCAGCAACUAUCCUAUACUAAGGAAAAUAUGGCGCCAAAAGCAACAAACAAAGAAAAACAUUGUACUUGCUCAAUAAGAAAAGGCACAAACAAUUAAGAGAGGACAAUGAUUAUGUCUGCAUUAAUAGUAAGCAAUACAGUUCAAUUCUUAUUCCAAGAAUAACCGACAUCUGAAGAGAAAUCUCAGAACAGCCUUUACUCGUAUAUUAAUAAUACUGGAAGAUAACACUGUACCAUUUAUUCCUGACAUUUGUCAUACAUAAAAAAUAAGACAUUAAAGUGAAGGGAAUUCAUGCUGUUAAAAUGAGAUCUUAUACAGACACGGAAAGAAAUCCAAUAGAAUUAAGAAUGACACAGAAAAAAUAAGUAGAAUCAAAGAGGCCGUGCCUGCACUUACCUCCGUACACUUGACUCUUCUGUCUCAAACAGCAUCCUAAAGCGCAUGCCAACAGAGACCCGUGUGUGGUAGACUGCUUUAACAUACUUGGCCAGCGGAAUAACAAACUCUGAAGGACUAGCUCUGAAUUGAGAACCACAGAUCACCCAAUCAGUACAAGCUACAAGAACGCAUUUAAUAUAUGUCCAUAAAGACAUGCAGACUUAUCACCUGGGGUUAAAGAAUAUAGUGAAACGACUGUUGGUAGCUGCUGCAUGAGCUGCAGCUGCAAGCAAGCCAAUGUGCAUGCUAUCACUUGAUAAAACAGAAGAAGGCAUGAAAGUUUGCGGGCGAUUAGCAUGUCGAAUUCCCAGGAGCAUUUGGUUCUUUUCAUUCCUGAUAAAGGACAAUUUGAUCAGCACAUCUUAUGCAGGAUGACAUACAGUACAUGAUUACUAAGAAAGACAUCAAGAUCAGCUGCAUAUACAAAUUACAAUGGUCCAUAAGCAAGUGUGGAUAUAUCCAGAGCAUAAAAAAUGUAUUGGCACGUUACAUAGAUAACGUCAAGUGACUCAGACAGAAUGUAAACGAGAAAAUCAAUGUAGACUUGAAAAAAGUUGGUUAGCCAGCGUGAGUAGCAAUUACAGUGCAUUUAUAUAAUAAAGAGACUUCAGUGGAGCAAUAUGAUAGAAACUAGCAAAUUGCACUUCAAGUCAGCAUCUCUAGAAGAGACUGAAAAAAAAGCAGCACCGUGGAGAAUGAAAAUCAUCCCUACCAGAUGAAAAUGACAGAAUCACCAGCAACAAGCCUCUUUGCACUGACAAACACGCUCCAUCCUGUUGUAAGCAGAUGCCUUUUCGGCUGCCCUGAAAAAUAUAAACAUUGAUGAUAAAAUUCAACAACGGUGUCCCUGAUGUAAUAGAAUAUCUAUGCCCUAUAAUAAAAACUAAUAACCAUGAUAAUUCUCCUUUGCAAAUUUUCCAAAUCCUUAACCAGAUCACAUCCUAAAAUUCUAUCUAAUUCCAAAAGGGCGUGAAAUGCUUUCACCACAUGCAACUCUUCCUGACUUUUUAUCUGUUAUAAAGUAAUGUUACUUAUCUUUUUGGGGGUACAAACUAACCUCGAAAGACAUGUCUGAAUUUCCACUCGUUAUCAUGAAGAUCUCUUGCAAUAAGUUCCUGACAAGGAGGAGUCUGAGAGUAAUCCUACAAGGCCAAGCAGUAGAAGCCAGCAGCCAGCAACAAACAACAUUAGAUACCCACUAGUUGACAAACAUAACAACAACAAAACAAGUAAAAACAGAACAAGUGACCUACAAGAGGAGGAAAGACUUUUUCAGCAGCACGACGAGGAACAGAAAAUCCCCCAUGAGUACUAGUGUCACUUGCAGUCAACGUUUUACAGAAGUAGUUGGUCGGCUGUUUGCUGGGAGCACCUAACUCUGCUGGCAAAAGAUAAACUUCCUUUUGCUCUUGCUGAAAAACAAAAGGCUCUUUGUCGGACCACAUAGUUGCAGAGGAGAAAGGAAAAGACGAGAAUCGAAAAUAAAUCAAACAAGUACCGGACUCAAGGGUUGCAAUGUCAUUUGAGCAUAGACUUCAUCGGUCUCGAUAUCUGACUGCACUUAGAACCAUUCAAACGUCAGCAACAUCAUUACGAGUUACGACACAACACAACUUAAUCAAAAGCACAGUAUAAUAAGUGAACGCACUCACAUGCAUGGUGACAUUGUGAAGCUGGCAUAUAAGCUGCGGUGGUAGGCUGGGAUAGUUGGGAAUAUGAGCGUCCACUUCCUUGUUAGUUGAAGCUGCAACCUGCAUAAGUAACCAUUGUUCAUUGAUUAAUGACCUAGGAACUGGUAGGGGAAAUCAUCCUUUGAACACUCAAUUAGAGAAACAAGCUAAAUCAGCGAUCAUCAAACGAUGAAAUGGAGAUGAAGAGAUGUGAAAACCCACCUGUUCGCUAUGACCUUGCGGGAAGUAAACGACUCGAGUUCCAAGAGUUGGCAAAGAGACAAGAGGUCCGGCGCAUGCAUGCCACAGCUCAGAAUUCAGACACUUGUUAUCACCUCCUAUGACAACGAAAACAGAGAAUAUAAUACGUAGUACAGCAUUUCAAACCCAAUUCAAUCUCUCAAGCUUUCACAUAAAAACAUUCGUAAAAGGAAAUACCAUAACCCCUACCUUCCUGAGCCUGCUGAUUGAACCCAGGGGAAGAGAGCCUCAUUCUUCAGUAAAACCACAACUCACAAACCGAAACAAACUCAACCCCAAACCCUAAUUAACCAACAGAAGAAGAAAAAAACUAACUAUUGCAGCAGCGGUAGUAGUUCUCUCUACUCUCAGCUAUCAGUUGGAGAUAAGGCUAGCUCCCGAAACUGAAGCACAUUUGAAGCAGAGCCCUCCCCCCUCCCCGCCUCAGCCCUAACCCCCGAAAUAAUAGAACCAGACAACUAAAAAAGCUGAAUCAAAUCAUCGGAAGCCACUUCCGGGAGAAGCAGCAGGGACUCAGCUCCAUACUACACCUUCUUCAGAUCUCUCUUCUCUCCUUCUUCAAGCUACCCGGUUCGUCGAAACCGCCAAUUUUCUUCAGAUCUCGAGCAGCUGCUGCUACUCCACUACGACUUGGACGGGAAAAGCAAGUAAGAAGCGGGGACAGCCUGGAGCAUAAACCAGGAUGAGUAGCUAGCUAGCUAGCGGAGGUGGAAAAUGGAGAGGUUUCUAUGGCGGUUUUUGAGUAGAUGUUUUCAGGCUUUUUCGGUUUCAGAGAAGCAAAAGAUAGGAAAGGCGUUGUUUCGAGGAAGAAGGAAGAAGAAGAGGAGAAGAGAGCACUUCCACUGUUGCACAAUUUGACAGAGGGAGAGAGAGAGAGAGAGAGAAGCAGUGGGCGUGUGUGUACUGUGUCCGAAUUUCGGGUAUUUCUUUUCCUUUUAUUUUUUAAUAUUUUAUUCUUCUUUUUUUGUACUUGCACGUCGGCUCUCGACCGGUUUUCGGUCUUUUUGGUUUGAUUCCUGGUUAACCAGAAUAAAACAACUGAAAAAAAUAAAUAAAUAUUUUCGAUUUACGGAUUUAUCUCGUAUUUCAAGUUUCAUAUCGUUCCCUCUUUCACUACCUCUUCUCUUUGCCAUUUUCUACGAAAGAUUUAUCUCCCUCAUACACUCGGCCAUCGCCUCGAACCAGUUGAAAGAAAUCCGCCUUAAUCGGCAUUGCCCCGAAGUCUCUCAUAUUCUCUUCGCUGAUGACACAUUCGCUCUCUACUCCUCGACCGACGACUAGGACUAUACCUCAGCUGGUGUCGGGCCUUAACUCAAAUAAUCGUUGGAACAUGAAGCUAUCAAAUGAACUCUUUUCGCCGGACUCUGUGUAUCGUUCCCUCUUUUACCUCUUCUCUUUGCCAUUUGCUACGAAGGAUUUAUCUCCCUCUUAAACUCCGCUAUCGCCUCGAAUCAGUUCAAAGGAAUCCACCUUAAUCGGCAUUGUUCGGAAGUCUCGCAUAUUCUCUUUGCUGAUGACACAUUCGGUCCCUACUCCUUGACUCACGAGUAGGAUUAUACCUCAUAUGGUGUCGGGACUUAACUCAAAUAAUCACUGGAAUAUGGAGCUAUUGAAUGAACUAUUUUCACUGGACUUGGUGUCUACAAUGUUGUCAAAUACGACGGAUCAUCAUUUAGUGACACGUGAGGUUCUUCGUUUGUGUAUUGACAAUUCAAAAGUAUCGGAUCCAAAUCCAGUCACAUACCGCAAACGGACAUCAGUUUCAGUUUUUGUUUUGGUUGACUUCAAAUUUAUUUCGAUGAACCAAAAACCAAAUCAUCUCCAUUCUCCACCUCUGCUGAUACGCGGGUUGCAACUUGCGAGUGAGAAUUGAAUAGACAAGCAGCUGGUGUUUAGUUUCAGAAGUUACCUACACUGUGCCAUUCACUCUCAAGUUCUGUAACAGUUAAGGCACUACUACAGCUACAUUUUACAACAAGGCAAUUUCCGGAGAGUUAUCGACAUGGAACAAACGUUUUUAGCAAGGUACAUUGCCGUGUUAAACAGGGUGCAUUGCCCAAGUCUGCAUAAUCUGAAGGGGGGAAAUGGUAUUUGUUGACCUUGGAGGUGACGGAGAACCCUUGGCGGGAUGCAUCAACUUUCGAGAUUGAUGGUGUUCGGUCUAGUAAUCGUCAAUUGUGGCGUUGCGAAGCUUCUUUUGGGGUGGGAUGGAAGCCGUGGAACCGAGACCUUCUUUCCCCAUUUGCUGCACUUCCGCUGGUGACAGUAUCUUAAUGUACCAGACACUAUUCACAAAUUCUCUGCAACAACAACAGAGUAGAGAAUGUAAGUUCCAC
RNAcentral lists this long non-coding RNA (7851 nucleotides) under Linum usitatissimum (flax). RNAcentral describes it as "long non-coding RNA (LUSI_LNC007519)". Lineage: Eukaryota; Viridiplantae; Streptophyta; Magnoliopsida; Malpighiales; Linaceae. The record is from RNAcentral.